AUAUUUCGGGGGUGGUGUAGGCAUACAGUGACUUAGAUCAGAUGAGUCAAUUCUGAAGAUGAAAACAAAUAAGAUGGUAUUUUGUAGGCACUGGUUGUACGAUUGUGAAGUUUCACUUCCCUAGCUCCACAGUUUGAUAUGUUUUUAAUCCAAAUAUCUAUAUCUGAAUAGAGAUGAAGAGGCAGAUCAUUAGGAUUGCAAAGAAUAAACUUCAAUAUGAGACCUCCACGAGAUAAAAGAAUACUGCUGCCGGUUAUUGAAAAUUCAUAUAGUUUAGUUUCUCUAAUUCUGAAAGGAAACCUCUGAGAAAGCCGGUUGAAGAAAAGGUCAUCAAAAACUAGGUGUGAGUGCAUUUCCCAUAUACCCCUCUAUGUUUUUGAGAGAAUGCUCAUUCUUGCUACACAGUCAACCGGCAAUCACUUUUGAAUUAGGUCUAGUAAGUCACUGGGCAUGUCACUUUUGAAUUAGACCUUAUUCUAAAGCGAUUGCCGGUUGACUGUAUUGCAAGAAUGUGCAUUCUCUCAAAAACAUGGAGGGGUAAAUGGGAAAUGCACCCACACCUAGUUUUUGAUGACUAGGUCAUCAAAAACUAGGUGUGAGUGCAUUUCCCAUUUACCCCUCUAUGUUUUUGAGAGAAUGCUCAUUCUUGCUACACAGUCAACCGGCAAUCACUUUUGAAUUAGGUCUAGUAAGUCACUGGGCAUGUCACUUUUGAAUUAGACCUUAUUCUAAAGCGAUUGCCGGUUGACUGUAUUGCAAGAAUGUGCAUUCUCUCAAAAACAUGGAGGGGUAAAUGGGAAAUGCACCCACACCUAGUUUUUGAUGACUUUUUCUUCAACCGGCUUUCUGAGAGGUUUCCUUCCAGAAGUAGAGAAACUAAACUAUAUGAAUUUUCAAGAACCGUCAGCAGUAAUCUUUUAUCUCGUAGUGGUCUCAUAUUGAAGUUUGUUCUUUGCAUUACUCAUGAUUUGUUUCUUCAUCUCUAUUUAGAUAUUUGGAUAAAAAACAUAACAAACAAUGGAGUUAGGGAAGUGCAACUUCAUAAUCGUACAUUGAGUGCCUACAAAAUACCAUCUUAUUUGUUUUCCGGUUCAGAGUUGACUCAUUUGAUUCUAAGUUGUAUGCUCACACCACCCUAGAAAUUUGAAGACUUCCGUAAUCUGAUUACUGUUUUGCUUGUGGGUGUCAUAAUUACAACUGACAUUUCAUUUGGGGCUCAACUUAUUGACCUACAUUUGCAAGGUUGCAUUGGGAUGUCAAUAUAAAUAUUAUAUCAAUCUCACUUUUCUGAGUAUUAGCCAUUGUGAUGUAAUUGGAUCAAAUUUCUUGUAUAUAAUCCCAUGUGAAGCAAACACAUGAAUUUAGCUCUAUACAUUUCAGGCCUGGUUCUCAUUUCUAUGUAUACAACUUGGAUAGUUUUAUGAUUAAUAUGCUCGAUAUGAUUUUAAUAAAUGUUAUCCAAACUAAUUGCCUCUAGUUGGUAAUGAUGUAAUUCGAUUUUCAUAGGUUGUUUUUGAUAUCAAUAAUCAAAUUUUUUAGAUAUGUGCAACAGAUCACUGUGAAUAUAUGCGUAACAGGUCAGUGUGAAGUGUAAUAAGUGUGAGUGAAGUAUGUUUAAAUUUAUAACUCAAAUCCAAUGAUUUAAUUGCUAAUUUGAGAAUGGAAUGGUACUGUUUAUGUCAAGUGUUCAUUUUCUUCUUAUUUGUGUACAACUUUAAUAACAUGUCAGAAUGCUAUUAAGUACUAUUCCACCAGUCCAAGAGUAAUUCCUUUUCCUUAGAAUUUUCGAUAGCUUCUUGGGGGCGUAGAAGGCUUAUUAAUAUACAGAUUUUGUUAAGUAUAAGCUCAAUAGAAGUAGUCCGGUGUUAAGUAAAUUCCUUGUCAUCAUGUACAUACGGGGUUGUUCCAAAUUGUGCAACAUAGGACUAAAAAGAACUUUUUCUUUGAGGUAAUUACCUUCACGCUCAAGGUUCUCUUAUUUGCCAGAAGAAAAUAAUAAUAAGAGUUCCGCGAUGAAAAAUUCCCAUGUCAUAAUAGAUUGCUCCGCUCGUAAGGUUUGAAAUCAAAUGUUCAAUCACACUACAACGUUGCAUAUAUAGGUUAGUAAGUUGAGCGCAAAUGAUGUCAGUAUUAAUUAUGACACCCACAAGCGGAACACUAUUCAGAUUACGGAAACCUUCAUAUUUCGGGGGUGGUGUAGGCAUACAGUGACUUAGAUCAGAUGAGUCAAUUCUGAACAUGAAAACAAAUAAGAUGGUAUUUUGUAGGCACUGGUUGUACGAUUGUGAAGUUUCACUUCCCUAACUCCACAGUUUGAUAUGUUUUUAAUCCAAAUAUCUAUAUCUGAAUAGAGAUGAAGAGGCAGAUCAUUAGGAUUGCAAAGAAUAAACUUCAAUAUGAGACCUCCACGAGAUAAAAGAAUACUGCUGCCGGUUAUUGAAAAUUCAUAAAGUAAGUUUAGUUUCUCUAAUUCUGAAAGGAAACCUCUGAGAAAGCCGGUUGAAGAAAAGGUCAUCAAAAACUAGGUGUGAGUGCAUUUCCCAUUUACCCCUCUAUUUUUUUGAGAGAAUGCUCAUUCUUGCUACACAGUCAACCGG
RNAcentral lists this long non-coding RNA (2597 nucleotides) under Daucus carota (carrot). RNAcentral's name for it is "long non-coding RNA (DCAR_LNC002560)". Lineage: Eukaryota; Viridiplantae; Streptophyta; Magnoliopsida; Apiales; Apiaceae. The record is from RNAcentral.